RNAcentral lists this ribosomal RNA (406 nucleotides) under uncultured bacterium. Its description in RNAcentral is "partial 16S ribosomal RNA". It matches the Rfam family "Bacterial small subunit ribosomal RNA", at positions 30 to 526 of the family's 1533-position model. The record is from RNAcentral.
AUUGAACGCUGGCGGCAGGCUUAACACAUGCAAGUCGAGCGAGCGGCGGACGGGUGAGUAAUGUCUGGGAAACUGCCUGAUGGAGGGGGAUAAGUACUGGAAACGGUAGCUAAUACCGCAUACCACCAGAUGUGACCAGAUGGGAUUAGCGAGCAGGUGGGGUAAUGGUUCACCUAGGCGACGAUCCCUAGCUGGUCUGAGAGGAUGACCGGCCACACUGGAACGUAGACACGGUCCAGACUCCUACGGGAGGCAGCAGUGGGGAAUAUUGCACAAUGGGCGCAAGCCUGAUGCAGCAAUGCCGCGUGUGUGAAGAAGGCCUUCGGGUUGUAAAGCACUUUCAGCGAGGAGGCGUUACUCGCAGAAGAAGCACCGGCUAACUCCGUGCCAGCCGCCGCGGUAAUAC